Molecule: ribosomal RNA, 253 nt
Filed under: uncultured bacterium
Lineage: Bacteria
Description: partial 16S ribosomal RNA
Rfam family: Bacterial small subunit ribosomal RNA
Source: RNAcentral
UACGUAGGGGGCAAGCGUUGUCCGGAUUUAUUGGGCGUAAAGAGCGUGUAGGCGGCUAGGUAGGUCCGUUGUGAAAACUGGAGGCUUAACCUCCAGCUGUCGAUGGAAACCAUCUGGCUAGAGUCCGGAAGAGGAGAGUGGAAUUCCUGGUGUAGCGGUGAAAUGCGCAGAUAUCAGGAAGAACACCCGUGGCGAAGGCGGCUCUCUGGGACGGUACUGACGCUGAGGCACGAAAGCGUGGGGAGCAAACAGG